GACGAACGCUGGCGGCGUGCUUAACACAUGCAAGUCGAACGGAAAGGCCCUGCUUUUGUGGGGUGCUCGAGUGGCGAACGGGUGAGUAACACGUGAGUAACCUGCCCUUGACUUUGGGAUAACUUCAGGAAACUGGGGCUAAUACCGGAUAGGAGCUCCUGCUGCAUGGUGGGGGUUGGAAAGUUUCGGCGGUUGGGGAUGGACUCGCGGCUUAUCAGCUUGUUGGUGGGGUAGUGGCUUACUAAGGCUUUGACGGGUAGCCGGCCUGAGAGGGUGACCGGCCACAUUGGGACUGAGAUACGGCCCAGACUCCUACGGGAGGCAGCAGUGGGGAAUAUUGCACAAUGGGUGGAAGCCUGAUGCAGCAACGCCGUGUGCGGGAUGACGGCCUUCGGGUUGUAAACCGCUUUCGCUCAUGACGAAGCUUUGUGUGACGGUAGUGGGUAAAGAAGCACCGGCUAACUACGUG
Molecule: ribosomal RNA, 469 nt
Filed under: uncultured bacterium
Lineage: Bacteria
Description: partial 16S ribosomal RNA
Rfam family: Bacterial small subunit ribosomal RNA
Source: RNAcentral